RNAcentral lists this unclassified non-coding RNA (329 nucleotides) under soil metagenome. RNAcentral's name for it is "partial contains 5.8S ribosomal RNA, internal transcribed spacer 2, and large subunit ribosomal RNA". The stretch from base 1 to 120 matches the Rfam family "5.8S ribosomal RNA", at positions 35 to 154 of the family's 154-position model. The record is from RNAcentral.
GAUGAAGAACGUAGCGAAAUGCGAUAAGUAAUGUGAAUUGCAGAAUUCAGUGAAUCAUCGAAUCUUUGAACGCACAUUGCGCCCCUUGGUAUUCCGAGGGGCAUGCCUGUUCGAGCGUCAUUAUAACCCCUCAAGCUCAGCUUGGUGUUGGGGCCUGCUGCACUGGCAGCCCUUAAAAUCAGUGGCGGUGCCAUCUGGCUCUAAGCGUAGUAAUUCUUCUCGCUAUGGAGUCCUGGUGGAUGCUUGCCAUCAACCCCCAAUUUUUCUAUGGUUGACCUCGGAUCAGGUAGGGAUACCCGCUGAACUUAAGCAUAUCAAUAAGCGGAGGA